This 253-nucleotide ribosomal RNA is filed under the name uncultured bacterium. RNAcentral's name for it is "partial 16S ribosomal RNA". It matches the Rfam family "Bacterial small subunit ribosomal RNA", at positions 524 to 776 of the family's 1533-position model. The record is from RNAcentral.
GACGAACCGAGCGAACGUUGUUCGGAAUCACUGGGCUUAAAGGGCGCGUAGGCGGGCUGUCAAGUCUGGGGUGAAAUCCCACGGCUCAACCGUGGAACUGCCUUAGAUACUGACGGCCUCGAGGGAGAUAGGGGCGAGCGGAACUGUGAGUGGAGCGGUGAAAUGCGUUGAUAUUCACAGGAACUCCGGUGGCGAAGGCGGCUCACUGGACUGGUAUUGACGCUGAGGUGCGAAAGCGUGGGGAGCAAACAGG